RNAcentral lists this ribosomal RNA (253 nucleotides) under uncultured bacterium. RNAcentral describes it as "partial 16S ribosomal RNA". It matches the Rfam family "Bacterial small subunit ribosomal RNA", at positions 524 to 776 of the family's 1533-position model. The record is from RNAcentral.
GACGAACCGUGCAAACGUUGUUCGGAAUCACUGGGCUUAAAGGGCGCGUAGGCGGGCCAGCCAGUCUGUGGUGAAAGCCUCCAGCUUAACUGGAGAAGUGCCGUGGAUACUGCUGGCCUCGAGGAGGAUAGGGGCAUCUGGAACGGUCGGUGGAGCGGUGAAAUGCGUUGAUAUCGACCGGAACUCCGGUGGCGAAGGCGAGGUGCUGGGUCCUUUCUGACGCUGAUGCGCGAAAGCCAGGGGAGCGAACGGG